AUUGAACGCUGGCGGUAUGCUUAACACAUGCAAGUCGAACGAUGAGAAAGAGCUUGCUCUUUCGAUUAGUGGCGGACGGGUGCGUAACGCGUAGGAAUCUACCUAUUAGUGGGGGACAACCUAGGGAAACUUAAGCUAAUACCGCAUACGCCCUACGGGGGAAAGAAGGGGAUCGCAAGACCUUUUGCUAAUAGAUGAGCCUGCGUAGGAUUAGCUAGUUGGUGGGGUAAAAGCUCACCAAGGCGACGAUCCUUAACUGGUUUGGGGGAAUGAUCAGUCACACUGGAACUGACACACGUUCCAGACUCCUAGGGGAGGCAGCAGUGGGGAAUAUUGGACAAUGGGCGAAAGCCUGAUCCAGCAAUACCGCGUGUGUGAAGAAGGCCUUAGGGUUGUAAAGCACUUUCAAUUGGAAGGAAAACCUCGAGGCUAAUACCUUCGAGUUUGACAUUACCUUUAGAAGAAGCACCGGCUAACUCCGUGCCAGCCGCCGCGGUAA
This 499-nucleotide ribosomal RNA is filed under the name uncultured bacterium. RNAcentral describes it as "partial 16S ribosomal RNA". It matches the Rfam family "Bacterial small subunit ribosomal RNA", at positions 30 to 523 of the family's 1533-position model. The record is from RNAcentral.